GGCUACGGCCAUGCCACCCUGAACAAGCCCGAUCCCAUCUCAUCUCAGAAGCUAAGCAGGGUUGGACCUGGUUAGUAUUUGGAUUGGAGACCACCUAGUCAGAACAGGUGCUGUAGGCA
Molecule: ribosomal RNA, 119 nt
Filed under: Pteropus alecto (black flying fox)
Lineage: Eukaryota; Metazoa; Chordata; Mammalia; Chiroptera; Pteropodidae
Source: RNAcentral